RNAcentral lists this ribosomal RNA (424 nucleotides) under uncultured bacterium. Its description in RNAcentral is "bacterial SSU rRNA". It matches the Rfam family "Bacterial small subunit ribosomal RNA", at positions 355 to 771 of the family's 1533-position model. The record is from RNAcentral.
UGGGGAAUAUUGGACAAUGGGGGCAACCCUGAUCCAGCCAUGCCGCGUGUGUGAAGAAGGCCUUAGGGUUGUAAAGCACUUUCAGUGGGGCGAAAGGUGGUUUGGUUAAUAGCCGAAUCAAUUGAUGUUACCCACAGAAGAAGCACCGGCUAACUCCGUGCCAGCAGCCGCGGUAAUACGGAGGGUGCAAGCGUUAAUCGGAAUUACUGGGCGUAAAGCGCACGUAGGCGGUUUGUUAAGCCAGCCGUGAAAUCCCCGGGCUCAACCUGGGAAUUGCAGUUGGAACUGGCAAGCUAGAGUAUGGUAGAGGGGUGUGGAAUUUCAGGUGUAGCGGUGAAAUGCGUAGAUAUCUGAAGGAACAUCAGUGGCGAAGGCGACACCCUGGAUCAAUACUGACGCUGAGGUGCGAAAGCGUGGGGAGCAA